Molecule: ribosomal RNA, 475 nt
Filed under: uncultured organism
Description: partial 16S ribosomal RNA
Rfam family: Bacterial small subunit ribosomal RNA
Source: RNAcentral
CGUACACUCCUACGGGAGGCAGCAGUGGGGAAUUUUGGACAAUGGGCGAAAGCCUGAUCCAGCCAUGCCGCGUGCAGGAUGAAGGCCUUCGGGUUGUAAACUGCUUUUGUACGGAACGAAACGGCCUUUUCUAAUAAAGAGGGCUAAUGACGGUACCGUAAGAAUAAGCACCGGCUAACUACGUGCCAGCAGCCGCGGUAAUACGUAGGGUGCAAGCGUUAAUCGGAAUUACUAGGCGUAAAGCGUGCGCAGGCGGUUAUGUAAGACAGUUGUGAAAUCCCCGGGCUCAACCUGGGAACUGCAUCUGUGACUGCAUAGCUAGAGUACGGUAGAGGGGGAUGGAAUUCCGCGGGUAGCAGUGAAAUGCGUAGAUAUGCGGAGGAACACCGAUGGCGAAGGCAAUCCCCUGGACCUGUACUGACGCUCAUGCACGAAAGCGUGGGGAGCAAACAGGAUUAGAAACCCCGGUAGUCCC